This 410-nucleotide ribosomal RNA is filed under the name uncultured bacterium. Its description in RNAcentral is "bacterial SSU rRNA". It matches the Rfam family "Bacterial small subunit ribosomal RNA", at positions 32 to 424 of the family's 1533-position model. The record is from RNAcentral.
AAUCAACGCUGGCGGCGUGCCUCAGACAUGCAAGUCGAACGCGAAAGUUCCCUUCGGGGGAUGAGUAGAGUGGCGCACGGGUGAGUAACACGUAGGUAAUCUACCUUUGGAUGGGGAAUAACAACCGGAAACGGUUGCUAAUACCGCAUAAUGCAGCGGCACCUAAUGGUGACAGUUGUUAAAGCGGGGGAUCGAAAGACCUCGCGUCUGAAGAGGAGCCUGCGGCGGAUUAGCAGUUGGUAAGGUAACGGCUUACCAAGGCGACGAUCCGUAGCCGGCCUGAGAGGGCGGUCGGCCACACUGACACUGACAUACGGGUCAGACUCCUACGGGAGGCAGCAGUCGGGAAUUUGGGCAAUGGCGAAAGCCUGACCCAGCAACGCCGCGUGAAGGAUGAAAUCCCUCGGGAU